GUCCCUACUGUUCACCCUUGCAGUUUUUAUGCUUCUGGCUCAACUGGUCUCAGGUAGUUGGUAUGUGAAAAAGUGUCUAAACGAUGUUGGAAUUUGCAAGAAGAAGUGCAAACCUGAAGAGCUGCAUACAAAGACUACAAGAACUUCGACAGUAACAGCAACAACAGCAACAAGAGCAACAACAGCAACAACAACAACUUUGAUGAUGACUACUGCUUCAAUGUCUUCGAUGACUCCUACUCCUGUUUCUCCCACUGGUUGAACAUUCCAGCCUCUGUCUCCUGCUCUAGGAUCCCCGACUCAUUAAAGCAAAGAGGCU
Molecule: small RNA, 319 nt
Filed under: Pongo abelii (Sumatran orangutan)
Lineage: Eukaryota; Metazoa; Chordata; Mammalia; Primates; Hominidae
Description: processed transcript
Source: RNAcentral